GGUCCUGGUCUCCCGAGUGACCUCUGAACCUGCCUUUCUACCUGUCCUGCACGAGGAUUCCUUCUCUGCAGUGAAGUCUUCGGAAGUAGCUGUCCACCUGCCGCGGAGGCGCGCACCAAAAGCACCAUGAUGGCUGGGAAUGCAUUUGCUGUACAUCCUGGUAUGAGGCCUGGCCCAGCUGAAAUUGGUCGCCUAACAACUGGAUGGUGAGACUCUAUAUUGCUGAAUACACAGCACACUUCGGCUGCAGCACAUUCAGAAAUCAAGCUGGAACUGACCUAAUGGCACUUUCACAGUGCCAGAAGGUGCUAUGCAGGUUUCCGGGGGAGAAAAGUCAUCAAUGGCAUUGUCCAGCGGUGAACCCUGAAUGCUGCAGUAGUGAGCUGCCAGGUAAGGUGUGCCCAGCGGUGAACCCUGAAUGCUGCAGUAGUGAGCUGCCAGGUAAGGUGUGCCCAGCGGUGAACUCUGAAUGCUGCAGUAGUGAGCUGCCAGGUAAGGUGUGCCCAGUGGGGGCAAUAGUGACAUGAAGGUUAUGGGAGUAACCAACCGCUUUCUGAGUGGAGCUGAGGCCUGCUCCACAGGAGAGAAUCUAUGCCCGGUACUGUAGACCCGCUCAAAAGCCCAUGGCUCAGAGGUCAUAGACCCUGGGAGGGAGCCUAUUACUGAUAUUUCACUAAAUGGGACAUGUUGUUAAACAGGGUUUUUUGGGGGGGCGGGGAGGACAGGGUUUCUCUGUGUAGUUUUGGUGCCUGUCCUGGAUCUCACUCUGUAGACCAGGCUGGCCUCGAACUCACAGAGAUCCACCUGCCUCUGCCUCCCGAGUGCUGGGAUUAAAGGCGUGUGCCACUGCUGCCCAGCAUCCAACAGCUUUCUAAAUAUUUGUUUAUACCCAUAGCUUAGUGCUGCUCUCACCCUUGGCCAGAGAACUGCAGAGGGCAACAAUGAAUGCAGAGAGUAAGUGACUGUCGAGUGCUCAGCCCUAAAUGGGGCAUAUGUAUCAGUUCUCCAAAGGCUCAGGGGACAUCAGGGAAGAGGGGACAGGAAGAAUAGAGGUGCUGGGGCAUGAGGAGGAGUACUACAAGCUGCUGUGUUCUGGACUGACAUGUUCAUGGCACUCAUGAAUGCAGAGCAGCGGUGGUUUCCUGCACAAGACCAAGCCAGUGAGAGCAGUCGCCAUUCCAACAGGCAGCACUAAUUGGACUCUGGGUUAUAAAAAUAAAUAAUAAACAAAUAAAUGAGAGGACAUGAAGAUGGGAGGGGACAUAUUGGAGGGUGUCUGAUGGGGGGCUGAGAGGGGACACCCAGGAAUGGGUAUGAUCAAGAUACAGUGUGCAUGUAAAAUUGUCAAAGAUACUCAAAAUAAAGUAAAAUAAAAAUAUGAAAUAAAACUGAUCAUGUGUGGUGUUCCACACCUUUAAUCCCAACACUUGGGAAGCAGAGGCAGAUGAUAUCUAUGAAUUUAAGACCACCUUGGUCUACAGAGAGUUUCAGGCUAGCUAGUGCUACAAAGUGAGACCCUAUUCAAAAAUAAGUAGAUAGAAAGAUAGAUAGAUAGAUAGAUAGAUAGAUAGAUAGAUAGAUAGAUAGAUAAAACAAGAGGGCUGUAGCCUCUAAGCCAUGCAGAGAUUAGUCAUUCUUGAAAAACUAUAUGGCUUCUAAAUCCAGAGAAAUUUCCAGACUUGUCAAGGACUUUCAUGCCAAGCUCUCUAAACAACCAUUAAUUUACACUUUGCGGUUGCAGUUGGAAGGGGAACAGUGGAUCAAAGCUGGGGGCGGGGGGAGCCCAGAACACCAUUGAUCGUGCCUGGAAACAUCAUGGAAAAUGAUUUAUCAAAUGUUUGUUGGGGUCAUUCUCAAAAGUGCAUCAGGGAGUGUCCUGAAAACCGCGCCAGAGCUCAGAAUGGGCACCAGUGCUCUCAGAGUCUGCAAAUGGGACUCAGCCUGUGAUAGCCCAGAGCACGGUGUUUGAGACAGGCACUGCCCAUUCCAGCUCACAGGCAAUGUCUGGAGUGGUGCCUGGAGACGCCAGGCUGGUGCUCAGGUACUUCAGAAACAGUGAUGGGCAUGCAUGGAAGUCCCCAAAGUCACAAUCAAGGCUCCAUCCCUGACAGCCCAGAACAUCCAAGGGGAAGCAUUUGUUCUUUGGCGGGUAAACCAGUGCUUAGAAACCCAAGAAAUCAGCCAGAAUUUGGAUAAGCAGCUCAGGUUCUGGGUAUCUGACAUAAAAGGGGAAAUUUUUUUUCUUUCCUUCCUUUCUGUUUCUUACUUAUUUAUUAUGUUGUUGUUGUUGUUGUUGAGACAGGUCUUAUUGUGUAGACCAGGCCUGCCUCUGCCUCCUGAGUGCUGGGAUUAAAGGCGUGCAUCUCCGUAUUCCACUUGUUCUGUUUUUAAGGGAUGAAGUUUUGCUGUGUUGGCUGCUCACACUGGUCUCAGUCUCCUGGGCUCAAGGGAUCCUCCCACCUCAGCCUGGAGAGACUGGGACUGCAGGUCCACAGCACAACACCCAGGUUAAGUGGCAGAUUUUUUAAAUAAACUUUCUUGCCAAAAUAUAUAUGUUCAGAAAAUGAGCAGUUCUCUAAACUUCCACAGAGUGAACACUCAUGUGGCUCCUGCCUAUCCCUGUCGCUCAUCAGUAGCCGCUGUAUUGACUUCUAGCCUGCUGCUUAACUCUGCCUGUCCUUGGACUUCAUUGCGAACUUGAUUGGGUUUGGAGUCACCUAGGAGACACACCGCAGGGCAUGUCAGUGAGAAUGUUUCCAGAGAGUUUUGACUGAGAUGGGAAGACCCACCCCAAACGUGGGCAGCAGUACCCGAUGGGCUGGUGUCCUAGCCUGGGUAGGAAGAGGAAAGGUAGGAAGACAACGGUACCGUCACUGGUCUCUCUCUGCCUCCUUACUGACCCAGUGUGACCAGCUGCCUCCUGCUCCUGCCAGCUGGAGCCACUUUGGCUGCCACCUUCCCCACCAAGCUGUGACUCUAGCUGCCGGCCCCUCCACUGAACAUCACUGCUCCAUACAGCUGUGACCCUAGCUGCCGGCCCCUCCACUGAACAUCACUGCUCCAUACAGCUGUGACCCUAACUUCCAGCUCCUCCACUGAACAUUUGAGGACCAUACUCAUGUGGCCACCUGCAGGGUUUCUCUGUGUAGCUUUGGAGCCUUUCCUGGAACUCACUCUGUAGCCCAGACUGGCCUCGAACUCACAGAGAUCCACCUGCCUCUGCCUCCCGAGUGCUGGGAUUAAAGGUGUGCGCCACGACCGCCUGGCUUGGCAUUUCUGUUUCUUGAUUUGAUGUGAAUUACAUGAAUUUGGAAUUUGGAAAUGCCAUUGAGCUAACACACUUACCAUGUGAUUAUGUUAGAUUUGAAUUUCAGGUUUAUUUCUGAGGUCCAAGGGCUUUGGACCACUGGGGAUUGAGCCAGCUAGCCUCUCUGGGCAUUCUUCCACACAGCCCCUUGGAAGGACAUGUGAGCAGACAAAGACUCCCAAGUCACACGUUCCCAAACCCGCUGCCCCCACCACUCUUUGGUCACCCCUGAUAGCCUGGAUAUCUUGCUGCACCAGGUUUCUCCUCUCCAUGUCCUGCCUCUGGAUUGAAGCUGGUUUCCUGCCCUUCUACUCAGCAAAAAUGUAGAAGAAACAAGUGUCACCAGCUGUAUGUCAAACCUGUGGUGGUCUUAGGAGUGAAGAUCCCAUCACAGGAGCUGUGAGGAGCAGGAACGGACACCGAUGACUUCGGUAGACAGUAUGAGGCAAGCGUCUGUGAGUUACACACCCUGGCCACAUACCCACAGAUGGUGUCUGAGACACUAGAAUUUAAUCAUUGAAUUCUCUGAAUUCUAGCCUAGACAUUUUGGUUGCAAGAAGAAAACUGACUCCAGUUGUAUUUUGGAAUCGAAGUUUAUUGGAGGGAAAUGCUACACAGGCUCCCGGAGAAAGUGUGGUAUUCAGGCACAAAAAGAAACGGGGCCUGAGGAGGAUCAGAAGUUCAAGGUCAUCCACUCUUGAGAUGAAGUCAGCUUGAGCUCCAGGAGACCUUGUCUGGGGUGGGGGAGGAAGGAAAGAAGAGAAGGGAGGAAAUGGGCCUAGAACAAGCAAGAGCACCACCUUGGCCACACAGGCCCCCCUUUCUGCCUCAUCCCCAACCUUCUAGCUCCUCCCCAACCCCACUGCUCUCCAGGCUCUCAGCUCUAGGCCCUUUGUUUCUUUUACCAUCUACUACCAGGCUACAGCAGGAGUCCCCAACCACUGUAGGCCUGGUUCCCUUCUAUCCCUGACCUCCCAGGAGCACUGCAUUCCUUCUUGGUGAUACUCAUUUGUUUUAACAGACACUGGAGCAUAGGUGUUCAGGAAAUGUACAGCUGUUCACUUUGCUGUGUAGAGGGAUGUACCCAGAGCAGGAACGCCCAGAGCAAGGAUGCUUGUUCACGCUUGGACAGGUACUGCUCCGGCGCCACGACUGUCUGCUUCCCACCAUGAUGAUCGUGAACUAACCCUCUAAAAUUGACCAAGCUCACUGCAGUCACCUGAGCUUCGUAACCAAAGGCAACAUGUGGGGGAUGGAGAAAAGCCCAAGAGAGAAGGAUCCUGAGCUCCAAUAUCUUAUACCACCAUAGCAUAACCAGUAUAGGAGAGAAAAAUAAAACUCUGUCACGCCGAGGUCACUGUGUUCAGUCUCUGUUAAAACAGCCUGACUUAUAUUCCGUCUGGUACAGAGUAUCUUAGCAAGUCUGCAAGGACCCAGAUGCUGUUCUGACCUAUCAAGAAGGUCCAAGGUGGCCUUUGAAGAGAAAGAGGCAAAGCUUCACAGAGAGAAGUGGGCAACCUGACUGACUCAGUCUCAGAGCCCUGGCGGCAGCUGGUUGACCUCCAUUCCACCUCUCUCCAUCCGUUCUUCUUAGGAGCAAGAGGCUUGGGAUGCAGGUCACGGAAAAUCAGAUGCUGCCGUGCUGCUUGUACAGAGGUAGGCAGGACCUUGUUCACAACACCUGACUUGUCUGACAGUGGCAACCUCCUCCUCCUCCUCCUCCUCCUGAGGGCAGGUGAGUCAUCCGUCAGCUCAGGGGUGUGGCAUCAGAUGGCGUUCCAUGUGUGGCUGCAUCCAGAGCUAGGAGCUUCCCAUAAAGAAACCGUGGGUCAAGGAAGGUCCCACACUGACUGGGGUCCUAGGAAGAGGUCAUCUACAGAAGAGG
Molecule: long non-coding RNA, 5192 nt
Organism: Peromyscus californicus insignis
Lineage: Eukaryota; Metazoa; Chordata; Mammalia; Rodentia; Cricetidae
Exons: 6
Source: RefSeq, a predicted model, not a curated record